Molecule: ribosomal RNA, 451 nt
Filed under: uncultured bacterium
Lineage: Bacteria
Description: bacterial SSU rRNA
Rfam family: Bacterial small subunit ribosomal RNA
Source: RNAcentral
GUGGGGAAUUGUUCGCAAUGGGCGAAAGCCUGACGACGCAACGCCGCGUGGGGGAUGAAGGUCUUCGGAUCGUAAACCCCUGUCGAGCGGGAAGAACGACUCGCGAUUGAAUAGAUCGCGGGAGUGACGGUACCGCUAAAGGAAGCCACGGCUAACUCUGUGCCAGCAGCCGCGGUAAUACAGAGGUGGCAAGCGUUGUUCGGAAUUACUGGGCGUAAAGGGCGCGUAGGCGGCUUUCUAAGUCAGACGUGAAAUCCCAAGGCUUAACCUUGGAACUGCGUCUGAUACUGGAAAGCUAGAGUUCGGGAGAGGGAUGUAGAAUUCCAGGUGUAGCGGUGAAAUGCGUAGAUAUCUGGAGGAAUACCGGUGGCGAAGGCGGCAUCCUGGACCGAAACUGACGCUGAGGCGCGAAAGCUAGGGUAGCAAACGGGAUUAGAUACCCUUGUAGUCC